RNAcentral lists this ribosomal RNA (253 nucleotides) under uncultured bacterium. RNAcentral's name for it is "partial 16S ribosomal RNA". It matches the Rfam family "Bacterial small subunit ribosomal RNA", at positions 524 to 776 of the family's 1533-position model. The record is from RNAcentral.
UACGGAGGGUGCAAGCGUUAUCCGGAUUCACUGGGGUUAAAGGGUGCGUAGGAGGGCAGGUAAGUCAGUGGUGAAAUCUCCAAGCUUAACUUGGAAACUGCCGUUGAUACUAUCUGUCUUGAAUAUUGUGGAGGUGAGCGGAAUAUGUCAUGAAGCGGUGAAAUGCUUAGAUAUGACAUAGAACACCAAUUGCGAAGGCAGCUCACUACACAAUCAUUGACUCUGAGGCACGAAAGCGUGGGGAUCAAACAGG